Esox lucius (northern pike) is the source of this 341-nucleotide long non-coding RNA. RefSeq lists it as uncharacterized. NCBI's taxonomy places the organism in Eukaryota, Metazoa, Chordata, Actinopteri, Esociformes, Esocidae. The record is from RefSeq and is a predicted model, not a curated record. The transcript has 3 exons.
GUUAGAGUGAUUCAUUGGGGAAGCUAUUCAUACACCACACUGCCUGGAUCUACGUUCUAGUUUUGCAAUCAGAAACUUGAAGAUGUGGGGUGUCAACCAAGGAAACCAGUAUCCCCCUGGCUACAACGGGAACCCCACUGGGUGGGUUCAGCCAGUGGUGGGAACAUACCCAGUGCAAGGGGUAUAUCCUGGUGUAGUUCAGCCAGCAGUAGUUCAGCCUGUGGUAUUCCAGUGCCCCAUGGGAUGCAUUGGGCAAUGUCAUCAUGGUCAUUACGGUCACCACGGUCACCAAAGACACCAUGGACACCACGGACAUCAUGGUCACCAUGGUUAUUACUGAG